Pelobates cultripes (western spadefoot toad) is the source of this 211-nucleotide non-coding RNA. Lineage: Eukaryota; Metazoa; Chordata; Amphibia; Anura; Pelobatidae. The record is from the annotation of a GenBank genome assembly.
CAUGUAUAGUGCUGUCUAGCAAUAUUUAGAAUUUAUAUGGUGCAAUUAGAGAUGUAUUCAUAAUUGCAGUUUCUAUGAAUCCUGUUAAAUUAAAAGUGACUUCCUCUUUAAUUAUAAUUGUGUUCAGUCUUGCAGUCCUGGCACAGUAAAGGCACACAUUGCAUUGGAGAAGUAGCAAUAUUGGGGGAGAUGCAUCAGUGUUCUUUAAAAG